AGAUCCAAAAAAUUUAUGGCUAUCUUUGAACUGCCAUGGUGGCACAGCAAGAACCCUCUUAGAAAGGAGAGUCCAUACUCAGACUAAGUGUCUAUUCCAGUAAGAUCAAAGGUGAUUUUUCUUCCAUGAUGUAAGCUGUCCAGCAGAAUCAACUUGGCACUGUGGCCACUUUGCUCAUGAGCCCAUUGGGUGAUGACAGGGUGGCUGAGGAAAGAGGCUGAAUGGUAACCACAGAAGGGAUCAUCCUAUCCCUUUGAUUAUUAAAAUUCUCCUCUGCUGAAAUCACACUUGGGUGAGCAUUCACACAAGACACAAAUGGUUUGGUUUUUGUUUUGCCUAUUCAGAGAAGCAGAUCCACAUACUUCUUCCCCAAACCUCACUGUCACCAAUAUUGCAAUUGUGUUCCUUGUUAAAUCCCUAAACAACCAGGUUCACUGUCAUUCUCCAAGAUCUACCUGUCUUUCACAUACACCAAAAGAGUGAGUUGAAUGGGUUUGUGGGUGGGAAUCACCACCACUCCAGUAUCCCUCAGAUCCUUGAUGGUGGCACUAAUCUCUGCAAUCCCUCCAGGAACAGUGUUUCAUUUUUUGUUUUGUUAACUGUUCUGGUAGAGGCUGUUCUAGUGGCUUCCACCUGGCCUUUCCUACGAUGACAGCCCUCGGUCCAUAGAUCAGGGAACCAAUGUGCGAAUUGUCAGUUGCCGAGUAUGUCUAUUCCAAUUCUGCAACUGGGCAAAUAACCAUACGGUGACCUCAGGGAUCCACUGUAAGAUGGACCGAAGCUAAAACUUCAUUCAGAAAUGGUGAUCUUCAGAAAUCACUUCAGAACCAAUAUGCAGUAAUUUCUGAAAAGUAUGAUUAUCUUUACCCAUUGCACUGUAAUGACGCUGGCAAGCAGCUUUUAAUCUUUUGGGGGAAGGCUGAGAGAAAGAUUAACAAUAUCUGUGGUUGUUUUUGGCUCUCUGCUUCUCAGUUUCACGUGUCCUACAGAAAAAAGUUUCUUUGCGGGGGUGUGGGGGAUCAGGAGCGGCCAGCAGGAUAUUUUUAUUCCUCUGGAGGUCCCUUAAAGUGAUGAGAAGGGGCAAACAUCUCCCUCUAUGACUUUGCCAGGCCCCAGAAAUGAGGUUUCUACCUGAGCCUUAAAUCCACGGCCCGUUUCGGCACUACCCACCUGGUGUCUCCAGGCUCUCAGCCCAUCCCCAGCCGGCCCCGCCCCGCACCCUACUGACCAAUCCGAGGCUCCGAUCUGGGAGAGUCACAAUGGCGGCUUCGCAGCCCCGCCCAUGGUGUUCCCAUGGUGAUAGUAGGUAGCCAUUGUGUAUAGAGAGGCUCACUUUCCUGAGAGCAGGCAACCUCAGGCAUGGAGACCCGCACAGGUACCUUAGGAGCAGCACAGGCAUGUCUACUCAUGGAGUUCAUCAGACAGAGUGAGGGCCCUUGCCAGAAGAUGUGAUUCUGUUCCCCUGCACCCUGAAGACAAGGCAGUGCCAACACAUGAUGCAACGAUGUGUCCAUCUCCGUGGAUUCCUGAAACACAGACAGAAGACCUGGGUUCGAUCCUUAGGUCGGGAAGAUCCCCUGGAGAAGAAAAUGGCAAGCCAC
Cervus elaphus (red deer) is the source of this 1601-nucleotide long non-coding RNA. RefSeq lists it as uncharacterized. Lineage: Eukaryota; Metazoa; Chordata; Mammalia; Artiodactyla; Cervidae. The transcript is spliced from 3 exons. The record is from RefSeq and is a predicted model, not a curated record.